Long non-coding RNA from Salvelinus namaycush (lake trout), 542 nucleotides. RefSeq lists it as uncharacterized. The transcript is spliced from 3 exons. Lineage: Eukaryota; Metazoa; Chordata; Actinopteri; Salmoniformes; Salmonidae. The record is from RefSeq and is a predicted model, not a curated record.
GUAUGUGUAGUUGAAUUUAUUCAGCCACUGUGUGACUGUUGUAUUUUUGUUGUCACGGCCUUAUUGUAUGUCACGGUGGUGUAUGAACGAAUGGGUUAUAGAGCAAACAACACAAUUAUCACAACAUAUGGCGUUUUUACUGGCUUGACUUCCCCAGUGAUUUUACCCACGCACCGCUACUGCUCCAACAGGGUCAACGGGAAGGAUCGGUCAAUGAAGUUGGAACUCCCACCCAGUUGACCGCAUGAAAAUGGUGGAAGCCCUCAAUGGCGCUGCCCAUGCAAGUACGGCCUUUUGGCCACUAGAGGCCUCUAUCAUUCUUCAUGGUUCCAUACGCUCUCUUAUGCUGCAUCGUGCCUGUAUUGCGUAUUGCUUACAGUCGAGUCGGUUCAAUUGUAAAGUCAAGAUGGCUUCUCGUUUGAAGGUCCUCAGAGUGUUCAAAGCACUGCACAGAACAAGAAUGGAGUUGUUCAAAGAAGAUACCAGAGCAUUGACAGCUGCAAGACGAAAGAUAAAUGAGGAAUUCAGGAAAAACAAAAAUG